Molecule: ribosomal RNA, 478 nt
Filed under: uncultured bacterium
Lineage: Bacteria
Description: partial 16S ribosomal RNA
Rfam family: Bacterial small subunit ribosomal RNA
Source: RNAcentral
GACGAACGCUGGCGGCGUGCUUAACACAUGCAAGUCGAACGGUAAGGCCCUUCGGGGUACACGAGUGGCGAACGGGUGAGUGACACGUGGGUGAUCUGCCCUGCACUUCGGGAUAAGCCUGGGAAACUGGGUCUAAUACCGGAUAGGACCUCUGCCGGCAUGGGUGGUGGUGGAAAGCUUUUGCGGUGUGGGAUGGGCCCGCGGCCUAUCAGCUUGUUGGUGGGGUGAUGGCCUAGCAAGGCGACGACGGGUAGCCGGCCUGAGAGGGUGACCGGCCACACUGGGACUGAGAUACGGCCCAGCCUCCUACGGGAGGCAGCAGUGGGGAAUAUUGCACAAUGGGCGCAAGCCUGAUGCAGCGACGCCGCGUGAGGGAUGACGGCCUUCGGGUUGUAAACCUCUUUCAGCACCGACGAAGCGCAAGUGACGGUAGGUGCAGAAGAAGGACCGGCCAACUACGUGCCAGCCGCCGCCGUAA